This is a non-coding RNA of Ictidomys tridecemlineatus (thirteen-lined ground squirrel), 5334 nucleotides long. Lineage: Eukaryota; Metazoa; Chordata; Mammalia; Rodentia; Sciuridae. The record is from RefSeq and is a predicted model, not a curated record.
AUUUCUCACUUUCGCUACUUAGUGAGUAUUUAAAUAUUAACGAAGGGAUUUCUCAGAGGGCUCCUUCCGCGGGGCAGGCCUUUUACAGUCCAGGGGACACCAGAAGGAGGUUGCUCCCCAACCUGAAGCGACCGCCAGCUUGCAAGAACUCCACCGUCGUCCUUCAGUCUGGAACUUGGAAUCUGUGAAGUCCAGCUUCUCACCUCAGGUGUGCAGGCUACUAGCCAGAGAGAAUACUGGUGAAUACCUAAAAUAAGCUCCAACAGGCUCUGGAACAAUAGAAAGAACAAACAUCUGUUUGGGGGAUAGAUGUGUUGGAAAGGUUACUUGGAAGCCAAGCCCUGUCUUGGAAAAUGAACUCUCAUUUGCCUCCUAAGCCCUCCCUGCUGUUUUUUUUUUCUCUGCUUGGACAUUUUGGGGAGCUGUAGGGGAACCCUUCCACUCCCAUCCCAGCAGUUCACCGUGGAGCCAGAGGCCCUGGAGUGCCUGCCGUCUUUUAUGGUGGCGUGGCAUGAAAAACAACUCUUAACUUUUUGUAAUAAAUGUCUCUUUAUAGGUGGGUCACACACAGACUGGGCCAGUGGCCCUGGGGAGAUUGUGGGAAGCAGGAGAGAGGUGAAGGAAUGCUUGUUAGCUGGGAUUAUGGGGCUUUAAGGUAGCACUGAAAUUAAUUUCUCCAGAGUUGGGUUUCAGUAGCUGAGGCGAUCACCACAGGCCGGCCAUAGCUUUGUUUUAUUUUAACUCAUUGGUUCUGGCUCCUGGGGAUUUUAAAACGUGUGUCCAUGCGUGCACACACCGCUCCAGGGUUACAGGAAACCCGUCGCUGUGGAUUAAGCCUGCUUUUCAAGGUGGUAGUGCCACAGGUGCGAUUCCCCUCCCUUCCCACCUUGUGGAUGUGGUUUGGAUCCCGGGUGCCUGCUUUCACCACAGUCUUGCGGCCUAUUUCCAUAACGCCCCGAGUCCUGGGCUGGCGCUGAGGCCCUGUUUCCGGGAACGUGGACAAGGCCUGUGUAGUCCAGACUUUAUGCCUCGCUCUCUCUGGGUUCCCUGGUUGUCUUCCUUUUGGGGAGGGCCACAGGAGACCAUUUCAGCAGGGUCUGGCAGGGACCCGAGGCUGGAAGUUCGCUCCAGUCCUGGGAGGGCUGGCCUUGCUCAUGGUUUCUGCUAGCCUGCUUUCCCCGGCACCCCCUCCCGGUUUUAAAUUUUAUUUAUGACUUUAUCAGAGGCACCUAGCAGACAUGAACCCCAGGGUGGGACUUCAGGGGUGAUCUCAGAGGCAGGCGGCACAGUGUUGAGGGCAUGCCACUGUAGCGGGAGCUGCCGCUUGGCCUGGCCUGGUCGGCGAUGAGGUCAGUCAUUAGCAGAAGCCAGAGAUGUUCCCCCUGGUCCAUGGAAGAGGGUGACAUUGCUCAUUGGGUGAGAAGUUUGGUCUUCUGCAGAGGCUGAUGGGUAAGCCCCAGGAUUAAAACAGACCCCCAAAGGCACUUUGUCUCCUUUUCACUAGGCUCACAGGCCUGAUCAAAGGCAAGGAGCAAAGAUCAGCGCCUCAGAAGAGCUGGGCCCAGGGCCUCACAGUGUAGUUGCUAUUCGCCAAAGCUUCAGGGUCCCCUCUGCUGCCACAGAGAAUGAAUACCCUGGUCCACAGACGGUGGCCAGAUUGAGAUUCUUGAGUACACAGUGGGGCCAGCCAGGGCAUCUCCAUUUUGGAAUAUCCCCUCUCAGCAAAACUGACUUUUGAGGACUCAACACUCGCACAAAAGAGGAGGCCCUGAAAACGAAACCGGCUCUUGUCGGGUUUGCUCACUGCUGGAUACGACAUAAGGAACCGGAACGUGGCCUGUCCUGGAGUACCGCCCCGGAGGUCGGGAGCCCACCGAGGGCCGUGGAAGACCGUCCAGCCCCUCGUGGCCCAGGUCUCAGCCCCUCCUCUGACCCCUCCAGGUGAAGCCCGAGGCUGUCCACCUGUCCACCUCAGGUUCUUCCUGGCCUCCCCGUCAGACCAGACAUUGCAGAGCGUCCACGUGGAAGAGGAACCCUCAGCUCCGCCUCCGUCGCACCCUGAGGGCUCACUGUCCCCAGCUUGGGGUUGUGUGCACCUGUCCCUCUGCAGGCUUGCCCAGCCUCGAGAGCCCUGGGGACAGAAGGUGCCGAGGUAGCCCCCCUCUCUGCCCUUCCACCACUCAGCCCUCCAGUGUGACCCCGAUACUCUCCAGUCACCUCUCCUGACUUGUCGGCCAACCUGGGAUGCCACACAGGUGAGUCUCACCUGGACCGAGAAGAAAUGCCACUGAGGGAAACUGAGUCCCGUCUGCUGCUGCCUGGCUGGGCUGGGGUCCAGGGGAGAGGACUUGUGGCCAGGGUGGGCCAGGGGUCUGUCUCUGUCCCCCACCGUCUCACGGCUGUGGAUGGUGAGCGCUGCGGGCUCUGCAUGACCCCAGGCCCCGGGAGGCAGGCAGGUGCAGGCUAGGAGCAGGCUCUGGGUCUAUGAGGGGGCACACGCAUACGUGUGUCCAGCUCUGCUUGUUCAUUAAGAGCAGCCCACCUGGGCGCCAUGGCCACACCUGUAAUCCCAGCUUCUUAGGAGGCUGAGCCAGUAGGAUUGCAAGUUCAAGGCCAGCCUGAAACCCUGUCUCAAAAAAUAAAAAGGGCUAGGGGUGCAGCUCAGUGGUAGAGCACCCGAGGUUCCCUCCCCAGUCCUGCAAAACAGAAUGUGGCCUAGAAAGUGCCGGAAACAUCACAGCACACAGGGUCUGUGCCGGACUCCCGGGGCAGCAGGCGGCCAGGUUCUCAGCCAGCCCCUUGGCCUGGAGUCCUGCUGCAAAUCCUCAGCGGCAGAGGCUCAGAAGUCCCAGAGAGAGCCCAAGGCGAGGCCAGCCUCCACCUCCCUUCCGUGGGGUCCAGAUGGAGGCGGUUGAUGGGACCUCUAGUCCCUCUCAGACAUCCAAGUGGGGCCCUGGGCUGGGAGCCAGUGUCCUCCCUGGUGGCUGGGCAGUGCCAAGAUGCCCCCAGACUUCGUGCUUAGACUGCUCACCAGCGGACCAUCAGCCACCCCAGGAGAAUCUCCGGGACCUCGUCCCUGUCUGCCAGCCCAGGGGUGCAAGCUUGAGGCCGGGGACAGCUUCUGUGCACACCUCCUUCCCGGGCCUUGAGGAACAUGGGUGUCUGCCACCGUGGCUAGACGUCACCUCAUGGGGCCCUCCUGGCUGUGCCCCGUGGGAGGGAGAGUGCUGGACCUGAGCCCCAGUGCUAUGUUUGUGAUGGGCACCGGGGACUCGUUCUGGUGUCCCCUGGGGUGGGGAGCUGCACAGUGUCCGCGGCCCACCCAGAGAGCAGUGGCUGAGCACAGCAAGCAGCCUGCCUGCCCCUGAGGUCUGUCAUCUGGGGCCAGAGACCCUACCCUCUGAGCCUCAGCUGCCUCACUGUGAAGUGGGGUGGGUGGUCCCAGCCCCACCAGGGCUGUGAGGACGGGGUGGCAUAGCCUGGUGCCUGCCUGGAGGAGGCAGCCUGUCAGGAGGGGCCUGAGGGAGGUCUGAGGCAGUUUUCAAGACCGCGUGGACAUCAGGGAGCUCAGAGCCGUAGUGCCACCUUCUAGGCUGGAAGCAGAAUGUUCCAGGGGCUCUGUCACCAGGAGCUGUGUGACCUUAGAGAGUCACACGACCUCCAGGCUCAGCCUCCUCUCCUGUGAGAAGAGUUAGCAGAAGUACUGUUCACAGCCUCCCCACGGGGUCCCCUGGGGAGGUGACGGCCACACUGGUGGCUGUGGUCAGUGUACUCGAGGCUGUCUUUGGAAGCUCUGGGUAAGACAAGGGCCCCCUACCUGUCCAGGGGAGCUGCCGGCCUGGGCACUGCCCAGCCCGAGGCCCUGGGUCAUGAACACGGUUGGUGACAGCAGGAAGCAGUCCAGGCCGUGUGUGGGAAUGGGUCUCGGCCAGGCAGAGCUGCCGAGCACCCUUGGACACUUGGCCCUUGGCAAGUGACCCCUUCCUCCCAGUGUCUCCGACGCAGGAGGAAUCCCUGGGGACGUGUGGCUGCUCCUGUCGGAAGGCAGUGAUCCAGUUGCCUGUGACCAGAGCCCCUGGGCUGCCCCUCUGCUCUGCUGUCCCUCCACUUGGUCUCCUGAAGCCUCUUGUGCCUGGUGAUGCUGGCGACCUCAGAGUCCGGGCCCUCUGCUGGCACCUGUGCCCUCAACAGCAGGUCCUGACCCCCUCCCCAGCUCUCUUCCCCUCCACAGGAGGUGCCCUUGGGAACCCGAAGUCCGACUCGGCGCCAAGACUGACCGCCCUUUGGGGUGAGGUAGUAGGUUGUAUAGUUUGGGGCUCUGCCCUGCUGUGGGUUAACUAUACAAUCUACUGUCUUUCCUGAAGUGGCUGUGAUCUCUGCGAUGGACAGACGCCGCCCUGGCUGGGAGGGCCUGGGGCAUGGGGCAGUGGGAGGGCUAGCAGGCCUGGGGGCCGCGUGCAUGGCCUUGGAUGGGUCCCUCAGCACCCUCCCCUGAGUCUCGGUUUCCUCCUCCAAAAUGGGACAAAUGGGGAUUGAAGGAGAUGCUUUGUGACCUGUCCAGGGCAGAGGGGCUCACAGCUGCUGCCGCCCACUGGGCGCAGCUGGCCCGGCCUCCCUCGGGCCCCACAUCAGGCCCAGGCUCAGGCCUUCCUGGGGAGGGUCUGGACUGCACCUGGCUCCAGCCGAUAGGGCAGCGGAUAGAGCUGCAGGCUGGCAGCUCAGGCUUGGCUAGGCCGGGGGGCAGUGAGGGUCAGCCUGGCCCGCCACCCCCAGGCAGUCCGCCCACAUACCUGGGGUGGGCAGCCCGUCCACCUCAGUGUCGGGCCUCCCCUGGGGUGGGGGCGGCCAAGUGGGAAGCGAGCGGAGAGGAGCGUUCUCUGAGCCCUGGGUGCCCACAGGCACAGCGUGGGGGUGGACAGUGAGACCCAAGUCCGGGGCCUCCCAAGGCCGGCCAGCAGACACACUGCCUUUCCUGACGAGGCGUGGUUUCCACCUUCUCUCCUGCCCUGCGCCUGCCCUGCGCCUGCCCGGCCCUCCAGCUCCGGUGGCCACGCGUCACGGGCCAGGCUGGGCGGGCGUGGGGUGGCGGGGCGGGAGGCCCGCCUGCAGGGUGAGCUGGGGCGCCCGCGGGGUGAGGUAGUAGGUUGUGUGGUUUCAGGGCAGUGAUGUUGCCCCUCAGAAGAUAACUAUACAACCUACUGCCUUCCCUGAGGCGCCCAGACACACGUCGGCCCCCAGCAGGGCCACCCCGCUCGCAGGCCCUGAGGGGGCCUGGUCUGCAGGCCAGUGGGGCUGCCUGGGGCCAGGACGUCAAUAAAAGCUGUUCUGACAGGA